AAAAUGCCAGGAAGCCAAUCAGAAAAUCCAGGAACUCCAGGCCAGCCAAGAAGCAAGAGCAGACCACGAGCAGCAGAUUAAGGAUCUGGAGCAGAAGCUGUCCCUGCAAGAGCAGGAUGCAGCAAUUGUGAAGAACAUGAAGUCUGAGCUGGUGCGGCUCCCUAGGCUGGAACGGGAGCUGAAGCAGCUGCGGGAGGAGAGCGCGCGCCUGCGGGAGAUGAGAGAGACCAACGGGCUGCUCCAGGAAGAGCUGGAAGGGCUGCAGAGGAAGCUGGGGCGCCAGGAGAAGAUGCAGGAGACGCUGGUUGGCUUGGAGCUGGAGAACGAGAGGCUGCUGGCCAAGCUGCAAAGCUGGGAGAGACUGGACCAGACCACGGGCCUGAGCAUCAG
Molecule: small RNA, 390 nt
Filed under: Pongo abelii (Sumatran orangutan)
Lineage: Eukaryota; Metazoa; Chordata; Mammalia; Primates; Hominidae
Description: processed transcript
Source: RNAcentral